AUUGAACGCUGGCGGCAGGCCUAACACAUGCAAGUCGAGCGGCAGCGGGAAAGUAGCUUGCUACUUUUGCCGGCGAGCGGCGGACGGGUGAGUAAUGCCUGGGAAAUUGCCCAGUCGAGGGGGAUAACAGUUGGAAACGACUGCUAAUACCGCAUACGCCCUACGGGGGAAAGCAGGGGACCUUCGGGCCUUGCGCGAUUGGAUAUGCCCAGGUGGGAUUAGCUUGUUGGUGAGGUAAUGGCACACCAAGGCGAAGAUCCCUAGCUGGUCUGAGAGGAUGAUCAGCCACACUGGAACUGAGACACGGUCCAGACUCCUACGGGAGGCAGCAGUGGGGAAUAUUGCACAAUGGGGGAAACCCUGAUGCAGCCACGCCGCGUGUGUGAAGAAGGCCUUCGGGUUGUAAAGCACUUUCAGCGAGGAGGAAAGGUUGAUGCCUAAUACGUAUCAACUGUGACGUUACUCGCAGAAGAAGCACCGGCUAACUCCGUGCCAGCCGCCGCAGUAA
RNAcentral lists this ribosomal RNA (508 nucleotides) under uncultured bacterium. RNAcentral's name for it is "partial 16S ribosomal RNA". It matches the Rfam family "Bacterial small subunit ribosomal RNA", at positions 30 to 523 of the family's 1533-position model. The record is from RNAcentral.